GUGCUUGCUCCUGCAGAAUAUAUGCUAAAAUUGGAAUGAUACAGAGAUUAGCAUGGCCCCUGUGCAAAUUCCUAAUGUGUUCGACACUUUU
Molecule: small nuclear RNA, 91 nt
Filed under: Meriones unguiculatus (Mongolian gerbil)
Lineage: Eukaryota; Metazoa; Chordata; Mammalia; Rodentia; Muridae
Source: RNAcentral